GGGCUCGUAGCUCAGUGGAUAGAGCGCCGGACUACGAAUCCGUAGGCCGCAGGUUCAAAUCCUGCCGGGCCCA
RNAcentral lists this transfer RNA (73 nucleotides) under Humidesulfovibrio mexicanus. RNAcentral's name for it is "Desulfovibrio mexicanus tRNA". It matches the Rfam family "tRNA". Rfam says of the family: Transfer RNA (tRNA) molecules are approximately 80 nucleotides in length. Their secondary structure includes four short double-helical elements and three loops (D, anti-codon, and T loops). Lineage: Bacteria; Pseudomonadati; Thermodesulfobacteriota; Desulfovibrionia; Desulfovibrionales; Desulfovibrionaceae. The record is from Rfam by way of RNAcentral.